UUGGGGUGUGUGUGUGUGUGUGUGUGUGUGUGAGUGUGAGAUGAAAGCAAGCUGUUAUGUGAUCAGCAACAGAUUGUAACCACUUUGUUUGUCAUCUUUACUCUGCAGGCUUUCCCUUGUAUCUCCACUGGAAUCUACGGAUAUCCACCUGAGCAGGCUGUGCACGAGGCGUUAGCAACUGUGAGGGAGUAUCUGGAUCACCAUCAUGACAAGCUGGACAGAGUCAUCUUCUGUGUGUUCUUGCCGACGGAUAAGGAGCUGUAUCUGCAGAACCUCCCGCUCUACUUCCCUGCCGAGGCCACUGUCAUGAGUAAACUCUGAGAGAGUGGAUUUGUCAGAUUUGGUUGCUGUGGAUACACACUGCUACGCUCAACAUCCAGAUUCUUCCUCCUCCUCGCUGUCAUCACAGAUCAAGACCUUCCUGAGCAGGAAGAUAUCUCCUAAAUGGAUGAAUGCUUUUUUGAAGUGCACACUGGCUCUUCUGCAGAUGUUGAUUAGUUUCUCUGUUUCCCUGCUAAUUAUUGAGGUUAAUAGAGUUGUCAUGACGAAGGUUUUAAAUGAUAUUCUGAAUGAAUUCUUGUGAAAAAUGGAUUGUGUGUACCUUAAGCUGCACUCAAACUUGACCUUUAUUGUCUGUGACCAGUGGUAGCUUUGCAUCAAGCUUACAACCCCCUAUGUGUCCUGUGCUAUUUGAAUAUUGAGAUUCCAGUGUGUGCAUGUGUGUGAGACAAUGACAAAAGCUUAUUAAAACGAAUCACACAGGC
This is a long non-coding RNA of Micropterus salmoides (largemouth bass), 764 nucleotides long. RefSeq lists it as uncharacterized. NCBI's taxonomy places the organism in Eukaryota, Metazoa, Chordata, Actinopteri, Centrarchiformes, Centrarchidae. The transcript has 4 exons. The record is from RefSeq and is a predicted model, not a curated record.